This 551-nucleotide ribosomal RNA is filed under the name uncultured Acaulospora. RNAcentral's name for it is "SSU rRNA". It matches the Rfam family "Eukaryotic small subunit ribosomal RNA", at positions 548 to 1098 of the family's 1831-position model. The record is from RNAcentral. Lineage: Eukaryota; Fungi; Glomeromycota; Glomeromycetes; Diversisporales; Acaulosporaceae.
UUGGAGGGCAAGUCUGGUGCCAGCAGCCGCGGUAAUUCCAGCUCCAAUAGCGUAUAUUAAAGUUGUUGCAGUUAAAAAGCUCGUAGUUGAAUUUCGGGAUUCGUCGGUUGGUCGGGCUUCACUGUCCGCACUGACCUGACGGGUUCCUACCUUCUGAAUAACCAGCAUGCUAUUAAGUUAGUGCGUUGGGGAAGCAGAGCUAUUACCUUGAAAAAAUUAGAGUGCUUAAAGCAGGCUUGUGCUUGAAUAGAUUAGCAUGGAAUAAUAAAAUAGGACGGCAUGGUUCUAUUUUGUUGGUUUCUAGGAUCACCGUAAUGAUUAAUAGGGAUAGUUGGGGGCAUUAGUAUUCAAUUGUCAGAGGUGAAAUUCUUGGAUUUAUUGAAGACUAACUUCUGCGAAAGCAUUUGCCAAGGAUGUUUUCAUUAAUCAAGAACGAAAGUUAGGGGAUCGAAGACGAUCAGAUACCGUCGUAGUCUUAACCAUAAACUAUGCCGACUAGGGAUCGGACGAUGUUAAUUUUUUAAUGACUCGUUCGGCGCCUUACGGGAAAC